UACGAAGGGGGCUAGCGUUGCUCGGAAUUACUGGGCGUAAAGGGCGCGUAGGCGGGUGUUUAAGUCAGAGGUCAAAUCCCGGGGCUCAACCUCGGAACUGCCUUUGAUACUGGGCACCUAGAGUGCGGGAGAGGUGUGUGGAACUCCGAGUGUAGAGGUGAAAUUCGUAGAUAUUCGGAAGAACACCAGUGGCGAAGGCGACACACUGGCCCGUUACUGACGCUGAUGCGCGAAAGCGUGGGGAG
Molecule: ribosomal RNA, 245 nt
Filed under: uncultured bacterium
Lineage: Bacteria
Description: partial 16S ribosomal RNA
Rfam family: Bacterial small subunit ribosomal RNA
Source: RNAcentral